RNAcentral lists this long non-coding RNA (769 nucleotides) under Homo sapiens (human). Its description in RNAcentral is "HSALNT0214600". The record is from RNAcentral. Lineage: Eukaryota; Metazoa; Chordata; Mammalia; Primates; Hominidae.
CGGCAGGAACAAGCCACGGCCACACCGCAGGGCCCCGCCCGGGCGCAGGGCGGCCCGGCCGCCGCUUCCGCCCUCUCCGCCCCCAACCCCUCGCCUUCCUGCCCCCAACCCCACCCUUCCCCGGCUCCUUCCUUCCCAGCCCACGCCCGCGCCGCGCCCCCCGGGAAGAAGGAGGGGAGAGCGACCGAGGGAGGGCGCCCAGCAGGGCCGGCCAAAGUGGGGAGGUGGCGGGCGCUGACUGCGCCCCUCAACACCCGGCCGGAACAAUGUGCGCCACCGGCCAGCUCCAGCCCAUUCAUUCUCCACUGCCCGCCCGACCUGCCACCUUCGCGCCGGCGGAGAAGCGGGGUGGGGAGGGGCGGGCCGGGGGGGGGGGUCUAGUGCCCGGCCCCGCCCGGCUCCCAGGCCGAAACGCUGCGCUGCAGGCAGCCCGGGUGCGGCGCUAGUGGAUGCAGUGGGUGCGGGGCUGGGCGGGGGGCAGGGGGAUUGGAUGCAGAAACCCCCGCUGCAGUUGCGGCCGGAGCCCCUGCCCGUGGACGGCCUACGACCAAGUCCAGCUCCAAGGGGAACCAAUAAAUGAAGCUCCCUGGCAGAGGUCGCCGAGAUGCAAAUCCAAAAUGCAACCUCCUUUAAGCGCAGCUGCUGCGUAACACUCAGAAAAGAAAAACCUCCAAGAACCAAAAACAAACAAAAAACAAACAAAACAACUAGAAAUCUGGGAAGAAAUCUCGGGCAGCUGCUACGCCGGCAUUUGCCACUCCCGACCUAC